Long non-coding RNA from Corythoichthys intestinalis (scribbled pipefish), 12344 nucleotides. RefSeq lists it as uncharacterized. The record is from RefSeq and is a predicted model, not a curated record. Lineage: Eukaryota; Metazoa; Chordata; Actinopteri; Syngnathiformes; Syngnathidae. The transcript is spliced from 3 exons.
AACAUGUUUUCUUUUCUGCUUGAGAUAACUGUUGUUGUUGUGACAUAUUUAUGUCACACUGCUGUUGCCAUAGUGUGCACUUCCUGUGGGUGUGGUAUUACAGUAUAAAAGGAAUCUGAUGUGUCGGUCACACACAUGCUGAGAAGCACACUGAAUAAAGAAGUGUUGUUCCAUUCAAGUCUCGGCCUUACAUGUACUUAGAUUAAGGAAGUACAUAACAAAAGUGGCGACGAGGACGUCUGGACCUGCGUCAGCUCGGACGUGCUGUUUUUAGAGUUUGCUGCGGGUCGCGGUGCUCCAGGGGACAGAAGGCGCAGACCUCAGCUUCCACGUCGUGACUUCGUGGGGAGGAGGACAAGCGGAGAUUUCAAAGGGAGCGUGAAGGUGCUGUAUAACCAGGCGCUAUGGCGGGAGUUAUCGGCUCUGUUGGUCCUUUUGAUGAGCUUGUGGAACAGUGGAGCUCGUACACGGAGCGGUUUGGCUAUUUCAUGGAAGCUAACGAAAUAGUGGAUGAGAAAAUGGUGCCCACGUUUUUGAGCGUUAUUGGGCCAAAUACUUUCAAUUUACUGAGAAACCUGCUUCAACCCGAUAAACCUGGCAGUAAAACAUACAGGGAAAUCGUGGAAACUCUUAAUGGACAUUUUUCACCCAAGCCCCAUGUGAUUGCGGAGAGAUUCCAAUUUCACAGGAGAAAUCGUGAAGAGGGGGAAUCUGUCACUAUGUUCGUAGCAGCGCUGCGGUAGCUGGCUGAACAUUGUGAGUUUGGUGAUGCUUUAGAAGACACAUUAAGAGAGAUUGGUAUGUGAACUGAGAAAUGAAGCAACACAAAAGAAGUUACUGUCAGAAAGUGGACUGACAUUAAAGAAAGCCUUUGAUGUAAGUGUGGCUAUGGAAAUGGCUUCAAAAGGAGGCUCAACAACUGAACAUGACGAACAGAAUACACCAAGUAGCAAGUACCCAAAGCGAUGUUGCUGGUCCGUUUUAGAUGCGGUAAAACAGGGCACCUUUCCUCCACCUGCUGGUGCAAAGAAAUGAACUGUCGUGAUUGUGGGAAGAAGGGUCAUGUUGAGCGUGCCCGUCGGGAAAAAAACAAGCACAGACAAAAAUAAGGAAAUGAAUGACAAGAGGUGCCUUUACUUCCGAAGAUGAAAGUGACGUGCACGCCGUGCAUGUAAUGAGCGUGGACGGGAAGUCAGGGUGUUGCUGGGUCACACCAAAGUUAGAGGGUCACCCAGUCAAAAUGCAAAUAGACACUGGAUCACAGGCAUCGCUUGUGUUUACCAAGUCUAUAAACAGUGUUUGAGACACCUUCCAUUAAGACCGUCAGACACAGUGUUCAAAGCAUACACUGGACACAAAGUGAGCAUGAAAGGAAUGACUGACAUUACUGUGCAAUGCAAUGAUCAAGCUGCUAAACUUUCAGUGUAUGUCACAAAAGGGAAUUUUGCUUCCAUCAUGGGACAACUUUGGAUUAAUACACUGCGUGUAAAUUGGCAAGAAGUUCAGCAGCUGUCAGACUAUUCUUCACAACUACAACUCAUCCUGGAAAAGAAUGAAGAGGUUUUUCGUGAGGAAUUUGGCAGCCUGAAGGACAUUACAGUGAAAUUGCACAUUAAACCAGGAAGCAAACCUGUGUUUAUGAAGGCUAGGACAGUGCCAUAUGUAAUUUGUGACAAAGUCUAGGCUGACCUGGAUGCGUUGGUCAAAAGUGGUGUUUUGGAACCAGUCACCACCAGCGAAUGGGCGACACCAAUUGUGCCAGUUCCGAAAAAGUAUGGCGGAAUUCGCACAUGUGGCGAUUUUAAAGUGACUUUGAAUCCGGUGCUUUGUGUGGAUCAGUACCCACUUCCAUUGAUCGAUGAUUUGUUUGCAGGUCUGAGCGGGGGUAAAAAAUUCAGCAAAAUUGACCUCAACCAAGUUUAUCUGCAGAUGCAUGUGGACAAAGAAUCACGGGAGUGGCUGACAAUUAACACACACAAGGGACUUUUUAGAUAUUGCAGAUUACCCUUUGGCACCACAUCUACUCCUUCUCUGUUUCAACGGGCUAUGGAUCAAAUUUUGAGUGGAUUGCCAGAGUACAUUGUUACUUGGAUGACAUUCUCUGCACCGGUGCCAACGACGAGGAGCAUAGGCAUAGGAGGCUUAGGCAGUAUGGUCUUUGAGUGGGCAAGGAAAAAUGUGAAUUUUUGAGACCAUCGGUGGAGUAUCUCCAGCAUGUGAUAGACCACGAAGGACUACACAAGGCUCCAUCAAAAACAAAGGCAAUUGUGGAUGCACCCGCCCAAGAAAAUGAGUUCCGCUCGAUGUGAAAUGAAAUGACAUGUGGUCUCACUAAGAAGGGAUGGAUUAUGUUGGCCAUGUAACUUAUUUCUAGUUACCACUCAUCAGUUUCUUCGGGAAAUUCAAUCUCCCACAACCACUCGUGUACACUUCAAAACCUGGGAUACAAACAUUUUGGGAGACAGACAUCUGUCCGUGCCCCACCCAAACGAAGAUGUCUCGCACCCCACACAGAAGAGGAUCUCAACAACCUGGAAAAUAUUCAUCUGCUGAAGUGUGAUGCCAGCAUCCAGAGCUCACAGACCACAACUGUUUGCCUCCAGGAGUUACUUUGUUUGAUUCAAUCAUUUUCUGCAGACUGCCAUCAUUUGCUUCAAGUUUCUUUGCAGAAAUCAAGCAUCUGCAUUCUCCACUGAUGUCGCGGUUCCUGCCUUUUGCUCCAGCUGCUCUACCGGGCUAGCUGAUGCCAAGGUACUGGCCUGUUGCUCCGGCUGUUGGUGGUCCACCUGGCUGACUGCUGGCGCUAUAGCUGGCCCCCACCCCGGGUGGUGCUGAACCUGACCACCAGCUGCCACGGUACGUGAACCUGGCUAGCUGCUGCGGCGCUAGCCUCCUGCUGAACCAGGUGUUCUGCCAAAAUGUGUUACAUCGGCGAAACGUCUACAUGAGGCGAAUUUGACACCCUAAGUACUACCCUGCGCUCCCAACUUGUUUUGGUUCAGAUGCGUACAGGCAGAACAUACCAAAAAAAAUCCUUAAUACAUAAAUGUGGUUAUAUCAAAUAAGGAUGGUUUAAAUACACUACGUGAUUAAUGUGGCCAACUGCUUUAAAGCUAAUACCAAAAAGCACAAUGGUUAAAAGUAUGAGAGGGAAAUACAUGCAUAAAGUAUUUCUGCCCGUGAGCAUGAUUGCUGCAGCUGCCCUCAUCACAUCACCGGUUGUUGCUUUUCUGACUCGUUUUGAACAAUCGUCCUUCUUUUUGGGAAAAAAAAAAAAAAAAAGACAGUAAAUGAAACUGUCUUUUUGAAAUUCCAUUUUAUCCUGGCUGCUUGCUCUCCAGAUGCCGCGAAUUUCCAAAAUUUAAAAAAACAUUUUUUUUAUGUCAUACAAGAGAUGCCGAAUCUGCCCAAAUAAUUCCCGGAACACAGGGAGGCCAAAAUCAAGAGGUGCCGUAUGCUGUUCCGGCACGAUCCGGCACAAAUUAACCUCUGGUCUCAUUCCCCACAAUAUUUAGGCGCUAGUUCAUUGUAUAAGUCUUUACAUGCAAAAUGGCUGAAAAACUGAGCACAUUUCUUGACAUUUUUCAUCACUUUUUUUUAAAUCUGUCCUGAAGUGGUAAUUUACUCUCACGUGAAAAUUGACUUCCUCUACUGAAAGACUCCAAAGCAUUUGUAUUUAUUUAUUUCUGGGGGGGUGGGGGUGGGGGGGUUAUAUUUGUAUUUAUUUAUGUUUAUUUUGGCGAUAUUUUUAUUUUACUUUUAUAACUAUGGGUCAAGAAUGGGGAGACAAAUUGUACAAUCAGGGGCGCUAGAAGUCACUAAAGCAGUACUCCAAAAACAGCUGUUUUGGGUCAAAUUUGUGAUGCUCACACUUUUUCUCCAUACAAGGCGUGCACAAUGGCAGUACACACGCAUGCUGGGUUGACGUGCGACUACUAGGCUACUACAAAGACAGUGUUCUAUUUCACCUACAGUGUGUGUUGGAGUUUUUGUAUAGGAAAUAAAAGCACCUGUGUCUUAUAAUGCAAAUCCCUGCAGCAAGAUGGUGUUAUGACACACAAACACAUUUGAAAACUAAAAGGUCCAAUAAACCUCGGUUUAAAACCCACUUUUCACAACACUGAAAUAAAUUGCACACCAAUAGCCAGCAGCCCUCUGCACAACGGCAGCUGAACAGCAACAACAAACAAUAAUAUGGCUACAAUGCAAGCUAUUUUAAGUUCUCCACAGUCUAAAUCUGCAACUUUUCCUUGCUGGGCACAAUUAUCUUCUUCUUCAUCUUCUUUUCCUUUCGGCUUUUCCCUUUAGGGGCCGCCAAAGCGAAUCAGUCAUCUCCAUCUAACCCUGUCAUUUACAUUGUCUGCUCUCACACCCACCUCCUUACCACUAACCCUAAACCCUAACUCUUUAAGUGCAUCUAUAAUAAAACUAUCAUCUUGAAUUUUAUAAAACCUCGCUGUUUUGUUAAGAAAAAAAAAAAAAAAAAAAAAAAAAAAAAAAAAAAAAAAUCGCAACAGUAAUUUGUUUUUGCGCCAUGAUAACUUCUCUGUGAACAGUUAACUUUUCUGUUUCAAUUGCACCUUAUCCAACGUGACUUGGUAGCAAGCAAGCUGUCAAGUGCUGACCAUGUUAUUUAAAAAAAAAAAAAACUUUCAACAUAUAUAUUUCAUCCUCAAAAUUAAAUACGCUAUUGUUUCAAUGUUUUAUUUUUUUAUUUAAAAAAAAUCUACCAAAACACUUUUUCUCCCAAACAAUAGGGGUGCUGCAGCGACCUCAGCACCCCCCUUCAUAAUGGUAGCAUUUUAAUGUGAAGUCAUUUUUUGAAUGAAUUUGUAGAAUUGUACCUCCAAAACCAAAAUGACAUGACACGCCAGAUUAUAGCAAAAGAGAUGCUGCUAUAAGAAUUCAAUGGACCUGAAACAUACUAUGCACUUGAACUAAUCAAAUGGCUUCAUUCCAAAUCCACCAAAUUUUGCCCAAAGUAGAUCAAAUUUGAUCAAGGCAUUUUGCCUCUCUUUGAAAACAACCUUCACCUGACAGCGUCCGCGUGGUGCGCUUCCAUGGCGGCGUGGCGCUCAUCGGCCUCUCGGACCAGCCGGAGGUUGCGGCGCUCCGCCCUCUCUAGGUCAGUUUUGGCUUGAUCACGCUCGCCGUGGGCCUGCUCGGCAAGGGCCCUAAGAUACAAGCGCAGUGAGCGAGCGGCGGCACGGACGAGCGAAGAAUGAGGGGGCACUCACCGCAGGUGGUAAAGCUCGUCCUUGUAGCUGACAAGCGCCGCCAGGCGGAUUGGACGACUGCCAUCGCCACCGGCCAGAAGUGCCUCAUCCAGGGCCGCCGUCAGAUCGGAUAAACUCAGUGGCUCGUCGGCGGAAAAUUCCAGCAUCUGCGAAGGGAGCACAGAUUGCUGUAAGCAAUUAAUUUCUGAAGGAAUUUCCAGCCAGAAUUUCCUUCCUUGAUCCUUUUUUUUACGUUGACAGAAGAACAGUCAUCUCAUCUUGAAAAGAAUAGCUUUUAUUGUCACUUCCUUGUUAAUAUUAGGUAUUUACAGAGCACUUCUUGUCGAUUGUGGGUCUAUUCCUGUACAUUUUUGAUCAUUUGCCGUUUUUUUUAAACUGGGUGUUUAAGGGUCGCUUUCUGUUGAUUUGGGGUCAUUCCCUGGUUGAAUUGUGGGCAUUUUGGAGUUAUUUCCUUUUGUUAUCAGUAUUUGUGGGUCACUUCCUGUUGAUUUUGGGUCAAUUCCCUGUACAUUUUGGGGCAAUCUUGGGUCACUUCCUGGUCAUUUUGGAUCCUUCCCCGUUGAUUUUAUGUGUCACAUUCUAUCCUGUUGAUUUUAGGGCAUUUCACUUCCUGGUAAUUGGCCACUUCUUAUUGAUUUGGAGCCAUUUUGGGGGUCAGUUACCGUUUUGUAUUGGGUCACUUCCUGUUGAUUUGGGGCAUUUCGGGGUUACUUCCUGUUGAUAUCAGGAAUACAGAGCUUUAAUAGUCAUUGUAACAGACAUGACAAUGAAAUUACGUUCGAUGACCACACCACAAACUUUCUCUUCUUCAGAAAUGACAGAGCAGUUGCAAGUUACAGUAAACACACAUCAUACAACAUAGCAUGGAUAUGAAACGACGCACAGGUCACGUGCAGGAUUUUUUUAUACGACAACAAGGAACUUCCCAGUCACGAUUGGUAGGAGGAAAAGUGAUAGUUGAAGGGCAUGAAAGCAAGGGUGUGUGGAUGCGUGACUGUGUGUAUGCAUAUCAGUAUUUGUGUGUGCAUGCAGGUAAAAUAAGAGUCACAGAACUCUGCUACCGCUCUUGGGAGGAGAGAUCAAGGGCAUGAGAUAAGGACAUCUGCAUGGCUCUCCCAGGAGAUAGGGAAUGGAAAAAUUAUAAUCAAUUAAGCCAAAUCAAAAAUGUAAUAUAUCCAAAUACAGUUGGUCGUCAGUCAAAAUCGCGCUCAUCAAGGCGAAGACGAGACCUCUGUUUCCUCAACUCAUUGCCAACAGUCACUGUCUGCCUCAACAGUUCCGUCAUUUGGCACCAGAUGACGUCCACCUUUCUCCAUCCUUCCUCGGACUGAACCGUGUUUGAUCCGUGGACAAUUUGUCAAUUUCCUUGAAAAUUGCAGUCUCGGAAACUUUCCAGUACAGCAGGACCUCCGUAGCCAGGCAGAAGAAACCCCACGACAGUCACGCCAAACAGUCAAGUAUCCUCGAUAUCUUCCUCGGAUAGGACAGUAAGACUGGCUUCCAGUGGUCCCAUGAUUCCCUCACGAAACCCGCCGCAAAGGUCCCAUCUGGGCAGGACGGCUCUCCUGGGGCGCCGGUGUCUUGUUGAAAAAAAAUCUUGCCAAUAAUCACUGAAGGACCAACUAAUAAAAUCCAUAUUUUCAAGUUGAGAGUUAGCAGCAGUUGGUCCACAGAGGUAAAAUACAAAAACAGCUGACAGACUAGGCUACAAGUUAGCAGAUAGCAGAGCGCAGGAGAGAACACGUGCGCCCCCGAAGAAGGCAGGAAGAAGCAAGUAACUUCCUAUUGAUUUUGCUAGCCUGUUGCUAAUCAGUAGGUAUAGUACGGCACAAUUAUGUCAACGCAUAAAUGCAAGUGUUACGAGUUUUUUGUUCAUUUGUUUACAGGUUUAAAAGGCUGUUAGGCAAGGGAAGACAGGUUGAUGUGCCUCACAACAAAACUUACAGUACGUUGAUGGACAUAUAAUUUGUAAGAUGUGCUCUAAUGCUUUUGCGUGCUAAGGUUAAUAAUGUGUGUUUAAAACUAAUAGUAAUAACUACAGUCUUAAAAUAUCGUAGGAAAGCGGGUCGUGGAACCGUUAAAAGAUCAAAAGUGACAAAAAUUCAGCCUAGAACCGGAGAUAAAAACUUGAGUAAACGAAAAAUUAACAAAAUCGAACUUACAAAGUCCGUGCACGGCAACAAAUAAUGAAACAUUCGGCGCAGACAGAAUAACGAUUGAAAAUUCAAAAUAAUUCGCAAAGAAUAACUAGAAUAAAAACUAAACGUAACAUCGCGCGUGUAAAACAAAAUAAAACACGUCUAAAAAUGGGAAAAAAAUCAAGCGUAAACAAAUAAGAGGACACCCUGACGUGGUGUUUAUGCAAGAACAAUUCCCAGGAAGCUGUUGUUACCUGGAAGCGUGGGUUAGAGAUCAUGACUUUAACCCAACGUUGAAAGAAGUGGAGAAUGUGGGAACAUUGAAGGCAAAAGUGAAGUGCAAAGAAAGAAUAGAAGACGAGCUCAAAGUCCUCUCCGUGUGGGAAACUCAAAGUAAAAAAAAAGGUCUGAGCAAAGUGAACGAGAAGGCGAAGAGAAAGCAAGCACAAAAAGAAAGAGGAAGUGCACUAGUCAUGUCCAUAGUGAUAAUUGGUGAAUUGUGAUGUUGAAGGUUUGAGUAAGUUGUAUUGAGGACAGAGGUAACCGUAAGUCUAAGUAAAGAUGGGUGGCGAAUGUGUUUGGUUGUUUGGUGGACGUCUGAAGUGGAAAAGAGGAGCUGUGACAGUAGGGCUUGGAAAGUUUUAGGCGUGUGAGACAAGCGUCGAUAAGCGAGGGAAUUGUUUGUGAAUAGCUGACCGUUUAUUGUGCAAAAUCGGAAAAACCUAGAAGUUUUUCAACAUGAGGAGUGCGGCCCUUCGGUGGCCCCUAUUUGCAGCAUGGGGUCCUCGACGGCAUCCGCUGGGUUUUUGCCCAAAUUAUAAGGGAAGGUUGUAAUUGCAGCUGGGAAUAUUCCAGCCUUUCCCUUGUACUAUUUAGGAUAUGAAUUUUAAAAUGGAAUCUCAUUAGAGAUAAAAAAUAGAUUAUUGAGCUAAAUUGAAACUUAUAGAACACUCUUAAAAGAAAAUAAGAGAAUGGCUAAAAGAGAAAGAAAAUAGUUAAUGUUUUGAAAAAGAUCAACUGUUGAUAAAUAGCUGUUUGAAAACAAACAGAUUUAUUUUAAGCAAAGAGCUAGUAUGUUUGAUAAAAAGAAAAUCAGAUUGUUAGAAAGGUUCUUCAUUCAAGAAUAGAUAUUGUUCAUAAUAUUAUUUGAAAGUAAAUUCUUCUGAAUUCAGGUGAAAAAAUGACCAACUUUUAGAUGUAUUGAGCUAAGAACAAAUAAUUAUAUUUACUCCAAGUAAGUAGAGUAAUCUGACGUAUUAAUCUUUGAACUAGUCUUUAACAUUCAAAGUAAGAUGGAGAAAAUUAUUCGGCUAGAUUUAAGAGAAUUGAUCUUAGUGAGACAUUAUUAAAUUUACAAUGAAGAAGGUGAUUCAGAAAUAGAAAAAUGUACUCGUUAUUGGCAGAUUUAAAGAGAAAAGGAAUCACACAUAAUGACAUAAUAAAUAGAUUGACUAAAUUAGAUUUUGAAGUACAUGGCAAAAUACAGUAAGAACUGUCAAAAGACUUCCCAUUAGUUCUUGGGAGUGAUAAUAGAUAUCAAUACAAGUCUUAUAGAUAAAGAGAGGUCCAAAUGUUGAUUAGCAAACUCCUGUUGAGGAAGGAGCAGCGGUUUGGCAUAUGUCACAAAAUAAAUAAAUAUUAACAGCUGAUGAAAAAUCAGUUUUAGCAGACGAUAGAGCAAUUUUAAACUGCCACUUUUUAAGAAUGGCAGAAAUAGUCUAAACUAGGGAGAUAAGUUGUUCCAGGGAGUGUAUAAAUAAAAACAACAAAUUAGGAGUUGGGAUUAAAAAACGUUCUAAAAUUCACACGGAAAGUAGAUAAUUCUACCAACCUGGAGUGACAUACGAAUGGAUGUUUUUUAGUGCACGAAAAAACAUUCUUUGUUCUCCUCUGGACUGCUGAAUUAUCCUCCAUUAUAAAUUACAUGGAUAUCAGUUGAAAAUGAUUGGAAUUAAAAAUUGAAUUGAAUGCUAUAAGAGGUAGUGUUUUAAGUGUUAAAGAAUAGCAGAGAAGUCAUAGUGGAAUAAAAAAGAUUGCUUAAAAGAGUAUUGCCGUCCCUCAAUACUCUCCCAUGCAAAUGAAAACUUUGCCUGGGUAAAAAAAAGUCAGAUUUUGACUUAUGUGGACUACAAACUUUGAUAUGGAAAAUUGAAAUUUGAAAUAGAAAUUUAAAUUGAUUACAAAAUUUACCCAAAGAUACCCUAGGCCUAUUGAGAUACUGUAUUUGACUAAAAACAAUUAAUUGAAUAGAUUAUAAUUGUGUCGUGGAAUCGUAAUUUUUGGAUUACAUGUUGAUGAAUCUUCAACAGUGACCCAAAGAAGGUGAAAAGACAUUUUGUCAGCUCUAAAGAAAUUCCAAAACAAAGACAAAUUCCUAUUUUGUAAUCUUGAGUGGAACAUUGCGCGAUAUAUUAAUGCCACUGCAAAACUCAAUUUACUGAUUAAAAUGGGAGCUGACAAAAAUUGAUCAUAAGCAAAUAUUGGCAUUUGCCAAGAGGAAAUUAUUAUACUGGGAGAAUUGUAACUCUGUAAUUUUGGGUUGAUUGCGGAACGUAAACUGUUUUUGAUACGGUAAUAGUAACGGUAACACAAGUUAAAACAAUUACUGGAUGUACUCAAACUACCGAAUGCGCUAGUCAUUUGUAAAUGUGAAGCCCAAAUUAAUGGCCUUGAUAACGUGUCAAUCGGGAACAGGCUAGCAGAUGAAGCAGCCAAGAUAGCGGUUGUAAAUCAACGCAAUAAAGCAAAAAUGGGCGAUGAAAGGUUUCUACCAAAAUCAUUGAUCAAAUGGGCAGCUGAAUUGAGCCACACGAUUGUCAAGUGUCUACAGGGGGGAGGACUGAGUUGGUUAAUAGACACUAUGAUAAUGUAUGGCUUCAAUUCAAUUCAAUUCAUACUUACAAAUUUUUUUCAAACAGUGUUUACUUUGCAUAAACAAUGUUAAGAGAGACCAAAAAGAGGGAGGUUCCCAGAACCACCUGAACUAUUUCAUACAUUGCACAUGGAUUAUAUUGAGUUGAAUAGAGUGUUGGGGAAAAGAUAUUCCCUGGGGAAAAAUAGAUGUAUUUUCUAGAUGAGUUAAGAUUUUUCCUAAGCGCACAUGAGGAUGAAAAACCAGUAAUUAAUGAACAGAUUGAUGCAGAAGGAAAGAACUUGCCACUUUUUAGACUUCCAGAUUUAAACCCAGGACCUGUUAAAGGUUCUGGCAGCAUUGCAGCUCACAUAAAGAAACAGUUUGAUCCAAGACAAGUUUGCGACAACAAUGAUCUGCCAGAAUGUUCUGAUCCACAGACUCUCAAGGUGCGGGUCGGAGACUUGGUCUUCCGGAAAGUGUUGCAGCGUGCCAGGUGGGACAGUGAACGCUGGGACAGUCCUUACGAGAUGGUGGGCUUCAGCCAGACUGCAGUGAAAGUCUACGGAUGCACUGGGUGAAUUCGUCAGUCCCAGUGCACGCUCUUCCGGUUGCCAGAAGGACCCAGCGACGCCAGUCCACCAGACCCUGAUUCCUAAAGUCCCGACCUCACCUAAAGUCAUCAAGAGCGGUGGAGGGUUUUCCGCCCUGCUGGCAGCCCGUCCGCUCCUACGAAAGACCUCCCGUCAUUGGAUGGAAGAGUCUACUUCGCAUUUUCAAACGCCUACUCUCCACUGUGGACCAAAAGGUCAGCACCAUGUUUGUCGCCUACUCAGCCAAAUACGACCUUGUGUCACAGCUCCCGCUAGAAGAACCAGAUACUGAUUUGGACAGUGACGAUACGGACACUAAUGUCUAAAGCAGAUUCCCCACGUCGGCCAUCCCGACUCUGCAACCCUAUGGACUCUCGAUAAAAAACACCGACGCGGCGAUCAUAAAUCGCUGAAAUAUGGCGUUCAAAAGAGUUCCAGAUUGUAUACACAUUUACCAAAUGUUGUGUUGAAUUGUGUGUUUUCCAUGGAGCCAUGGCAUGAAGCUGCUCUCGUCCCUAGCGCAAAUGGGGAGGGAAUAGGGGAAUUUUGUCCUUAAUGUUAAGGUUUUUUCGCCCCUAUCGUGGCAUUUUAUAACUCCUGCUAAUGGAUAAUUGACGGGUCAGACACCAACCCCACUCUCGAGAAUGUCUAACUCUGAUGAAAGCUGAAACGUUUUAAACCCCCAACAGGAGGGAAAUGUAAGAUGUGCUCUAAUGCUUUUGCGUGCUAAGGUUAAUAAUGUGUGUUUAAAACUAAUGGUUAUAACUACAGUCCUACUUAACAGUCUUAUGGCCUUACAAAACAAAGAAUGCGUAAGGGCACAUCUAACUGAAGGACAGAUGUCAGCAUGACCCAGAGGGGCACAUUUCCUGUUUUAGGUUUCUAUUGCUGACCAUAAAGUUUCAACACAAUGAGACAAGACAAAUAACUGCCCGCGCCCAACUCUCAAGAUAACAGCUAUUUCUCAAGAUGUGAAACUCACACAUGUAUGUUGAAACUCUCCCACUUUGCCAAUAAAAGCAGCGACCCUAGGUAGGGGGCUGAGAGAGAAUCACUGACUUUGCGAGUAAAGCGUCAGUCCUCUCCCUGGCGGCCGCCGGUGAAAAUUUUAUCGCUGUCUCAAGUCUGAUUCUUCCUCCGUCCCUUCCUAGGUCUUUGUUGUUUUCUUAGUUCUAGUAUUAAGUUUAGACCUAACAUAAUUGAUACUACGUUAUACGCGCGUUCUACCCGAGAGGCUGGGGCUGGGACAGACAGUGGCUCGCCUCGCGGCGGACCGUCAACUAGAUCCAGAGAUCCAACUACAAGCUUUUUAACUGCAGCAACUUUAAGAUAAUCUAUUGGAGCUGGAAUUGCAGAGGACAGCGGGUGAAAGCCCGUCUGGAGGCCGCCGAGGGUUAUCAUAAUGUUGGGUGAAAGUUUGGCGAGCUCUGCUGUCUGAUAACACAUUCUCGUAUGCUCAACCUUCAUUCAUAUUUUUCUAAUAAUCUGACCUGUUUUGCACAUGCACCACUCGUUUUAAAUAAGA